UAAUGUAUGGGGAUCUGCCCGAUAGAGGGGGAUAACUACUGGAAACGGUGGCUAAUACCGCAUAACGUCGCAAGACCAAAGUGGGGGACCUUCGGGCCUCAUGCCAUCAGAUGUGCCCAGAUGGGAUUAGCUAGUAGGUGGGGUAAUGGCUCACCUAGGCGACGAUCCCUAGCUGGUCUGAGAGGAUGACCAGCCACACUGGAACUGAGACACGGUCCAG
Molecule: ribosomal RNA, 220 nt
Filed under: uncultured bacterium
Lineage: Bacteria
Description: partial 16S ribosomal RNA
Rfam family: Bacterial small subunit ribosomal RNA
Source: RNAcentral